RNAcentral lists this ribosomal RNA (1175 nucleotides) under Staphylococcus aureus. RNAcentral's name for it is "bacterial SSU rRNA". It matches the Rfam family "Bacterial small subunit ribosomal RNA", at positions 1 to 1157 of the family's 1533-position model. Lineage: Bacteria; Bacillati; Bacillota; Bacilli; Caryophanales; Staphylococcaceae. The record is from RNAcentral.
UUUAUGGAGAGUUUGAUCCUGGCUCAGGAUGAACGCUGGCGGCGUGCCUAAUACAUGCAAGUCGAGCGAACGGACGAGAAGCUUGCUUUUCUGAUGUUAGCGGCGGACGGGUGAGUAACACGUGGAUAACCUACCUAUAAGACUGGGAUAACUUCGGGAAACCGGAGCUAAUACCGGAUAAUAUUUUGAACCGCAUGGUUCAAAAGUGAAAGACGGUCUUGCUGUCACUUAUAGAUGGAUCCGCGCUGCAUUAGCUAGUUGGUAAGGUAACGGCUUACCAAGGCAACGAUGCAUAGCCGACCUGAGAGGGUGAUCGGCCACACUGGAACUGAGACACGGUCCAGACUCCUACGGGAGGCAGCAGUAGGGAAUCUUCCGCAAUGGGCGAAAGCCUGACGGAGCAACGCCGCGUGAGUGAUGAAGGUCUUCGGAUCGUAAAACUCUGUUAUUAGGGAAGAACAUAUGUGUAAGUAACUGUGCACAUCUUGACGGUACCUAAUCAGAAAGCCACGGCUAACUACGUGCCAGCAGCCGCGGUAAUACGUAGGUGGCAAGCGUUAUCCGGAAUUAUUGGGCGUAAAGCGCGCGUAGGCGGUUUUUUAAGUCUGAUGUGAAAGCCCACGGCUCAACCGUGGAGGGUCAUUGGAAACUGGAAAACUUGAGUGCAGAAGAGGAAAGUGGAAUUCCAUGUGUAGCGGUGAAAUGCGCAGAGAUAUGGAGGAACACCAGUGGCGAAGGCGACUUUCUGGUCUGUAACUGACGCUGAUGUGCGAAAGCGUGGGGAUCAAACAGGAUUAGAUACCCUGGUAGUCCACGCCGUAAACGAUGAGUGCUAAGUGUUAGGGGGUUUCCGCCCCUUAGUGCUGCAGCUAACGCAUUAAGCACUCCGCCUGGGGAGUACGACCGCAAGGUUGAAACUCAAAGGAAUUGACGGGGACCCGCACAAGCGGUGGAGCAUGUGGUUUAAUUCGAAGCAACGCGAAGAACCUUACCAAAUCUUGACAUCCUUUGACAACUCUAGAGAUAGAGCCUUCCCCUUCGGGGGACAAAGUGACAGGUGGUGCAUGGUUGUCGUCAGCUCGUGUCGUGAGAUGUUGGGUUAAGUCCCGCAACGAGCGCAACCCUUAAGCUUAGUUGCCAUCAUUAAGUUGGGCACUCUAAGUUGACUGCCGGUG